RNAcentral lists this ribosomal RNA (542 nucleotides) under uncultured bacterium. RNAcentral describes it as "bacterial SSU rRNA". It matches the Rfam family "Bacterial small subunit ribosomal RNA", at positions 24 to 574 of the family's 1533-position model. The record is from RNAcentral.
UCAGGAUGAACGCUAGCGGCAGGCCUAAUACAUGCAAGUCGAACGGUGAUAGCAAUAUCAUAGUGGCGCACGGGUGCGUAACACGUAUGCAACCUACCUAUUAUUGGGGGAUAGCCUUUGGAAACGGAGAUUAAUACCGCAUAAUACGAUUGACUGGCAUCGGUUGAUUGUUAAAGCUUCGGCGAUAAUAGAUGGGCAUGCGUCCAAUUAGUUAGUUGGUUAGGUAACGGCUGACCAAGACGAUGAUUGGUAGGGGAUCUGAGAGGAUAAUCCCCCACACUGGCACUGAGAUACGGGCCAGACUCCUACGGGAGGCAGCAGUAGGGAAUAUUGGGCAAUGGGCGGAAGCCUGACCCAGCCAUGCCGCGUGCAGGAAGAAGGCGUUAUGCGUUGUAAACUGCUUUUUUAUAGGAAGAAGGAUCCCUUGCGAGGGAAGGUGACGGUACUAUAAGAAUAAGCACCGGCUAACUCCGUGCCAGCAGCCGCGGUAAUACGGAGGGUGCAAGCGUUGUCCGGAUUUAUUGGGUUUAAAGGGUGCGUAC